CGAAGCAGUCGUCGUCGAUGGUGUAGAUGUACUUCUUCUUGGAGACCAUGUAUCCGAAGCAGCGGCAGGCAGAGUCCUUGAAGGAGAUGCAGGAGGCCUUGGGGCCGAGGAUGCGGUUGACGUCGUUGCGGUUGUAGAGCUCGUAGUCGAAGCCCUCGGGCACCUUGAUGACCUUGGUCGGGUCGCCGUCCUGCACGAUGAUGAGGUGGUAGGGCUGGAAGAAGGGCCGCCACAUCUCGAGGAAGUCGAGGUUGCGGAUCGUCGGGAUGACGAUGUCCAGCUCGUCCUUGAGCAGCGGCGUCGACGGGGCGGCGGCCAUCGCGGCGAGGCGGGGGAGGCAGGUGACGGACGGGCAGGCGGUGAUCGGCCGGGGUGCGGAGAGGUGUAGGAAACGGACAGGGUAUAUAAUGGAGGAGGAGGCCGGGCGGGGGUUUAUUGCGGGCCCGGCCGGCUGGGCUGAACAGUGGGCCGGCCGCGGCCGGUGUGGGCUGCUCCUUUUUGCCCUUUUCCCCUUUGCUUGUUGUGGAAGUGAGCAGUACGCGGUGUCGGUGUGGUCCUUGGUGAAUUAGUCAGACUUGCCAGAGUGUGCAAUCCAGACUCUUAACAAAAUGGCAUGAUGUCAGCUCAUAUCUAUGAUUACUUUUUCUUUGCCGAGGAGUCCAAUCACAUACUUCUCUGGCGCAUAUUAAUUGUGAUUUAUCCAAACAUAUUCUAAUACUGUCUCCGUUUUUUUAAAGGCUUCAUUAAAAGAAUACAACAGAUGUGUAUAGACGUAAAACCCUAAAAAUAUAGAUAGACAUAAACAUUUUAAAAACUUAUAUUUAAAAACAAAGAAAGUAUUAGAUAUAACAUUCGGUUUAAGUAACAAUUAAUAUGAGAUGCGGGAAAUAACUAUCAAGUUCUAGGAAUAAAGAAAUAAGUUAUUGGCUGGGGUGGGGGGGGUGUCAGUAUCUCAUCUCAUAUUAUCUCACUUUUUUAGGAAAAUGCUAUCAUGGCUUGCUUUAUUCAAAUUAAGUAAGAAUUUUCAUCGACAUAAUUACAAGAUAGAUUAUUCUUAAUGUUAAAUUUACCAAUCUUGUGAGAAGCUUGAUUAGCUUCUCGUAAGCAAUGGCGGAACUCGACGUUCCCAAUCAAAGCAAUUAAGUCCACGCAGUCCGCAGAUAUGGGACACCUUCACUCCACCAAGUAUUGCUUGUGCAUUCACUCACAACUUCUAGAGUGUGAUUCAGUUGUGAUGUGAUUCAAACCAAGAGUUUCUGCAGGAUGAGGGCGUGCUUCAUAGUCAUCGCUUCAACUAUUGAUGCUUCCGAUGCAAAGGAGAUAAAAGUGCAAGAAGCUACUAUAAAAUUGCCAAACCCAUCUCUGAUGAUUCCAGCACUAGCUCACAUGCCUACAUCGAUAUGAAAUGAUGCAUCAACAAUCAACUUUAAAUCAUCUUUACUUGUUUUUUCCAUCGUACCAUCUCUCUAGUAGCAUCUUUUUUGUUGGCCUUGACAAAUGUGUUACAUAGAGCAAGGAUAGACAUCAUCCAAUGUGUUGAUGGUGGAACAAUCUCAUUAUGUGUGGCACUUCUUCGUAUCCACCACAGCUACCAGCAUGCAGUUGCUAUCACCUCGGUUGUACCCAUUCCUUCGAGGUUCUAGAAUUGAUUGAUUGAAGAAUAAGAUCUUCAAGCAUAUGCGAAUUCGACAUGUCUACAACAAAAGCUCCCGAGAUUCAGUCCUCCAGUUUUAAACCAUUCCAGAGUUAUUUAAUCGAUAUACAAUCAAAAAGAAGAUGCAAAAUAUCCUCAAAAUCCGUGUGGUAUAUGGGACACACAGGGUCAGUUCCCACAUGGCGAUGCACUACUACAAUGCCACGCCCAAGAUGCGACCCUAUCCUCAAUUUGGCACGAAUGCCUCGUCAGGGAUAGAAGUGCAUCUCGUCGUGUUGCAAGAAUGGAUAUCGUUACAAGUACAUGUACUGAAAAGGAGAGAUAUAUAUUCAGAGUUGGCUUACACUCGCCACAAGCUACAUCAGAGUCACAUCAGUACAUUACAUAAUCAUCAAGAGUAAGAGCAGGGUCCGACUACGGACGAAAACAAACGAGAAAAAUAAGAACGACGUCCAUCCUUGCUAUCCCAGGCUGCCGGCCUGGAACCCAUCCUAGAUCGAUGAAGAAGAAGAAGAAGAAGCAACUCCAAAUGAACAAACAAUGCGCUCGCGUCAAGUAAUCUUAACCUGUACCUGCAACUGUGUUGUAGUAAUCUGUGAGCCACAGGGGACUCAGCAAUCUCAUUUCCAAAGGUAUCAAGACUAGCAAAGCUUAAUGGGUGAGGUAUGGUUAAGUGGUGAGGUUGCAGCAGCGGCUAAGCAUGUAUUUGGUGGCUAACUUACGAGUACAAGAAAUAAGAGGGGGAAGAUCUACGCAUAACGAACGUGAACUACUGAUGAUCAAAUGAAUGAUCCUGAACACCUACCUACGUCAGACAUAACCCCACCGUGUCCUCGGUCGGAGAAGGAACUCACGAAAGAGACAGUCACGGUUACGCACACAGUUGGCAUGUUUUAAUUAAGUUAACUUCAAGUUAUCUAGAACCAGUGUUAAACAAAGUUUCCACGUUGCCACAUAACCGCGGGCACGGCUUUCCGAAAGAUUUAACCCUGCAGGGGUGCUCCAACUAGUCCAUCACAAAUUACCACAAGCCGCAUAGAAAUCCUCAAUCACGAAGCUCACGAUCUCGUCGGAUUCCCUAAUGGAAAACCUCAACUCUGAGAUUACCCAAAGCAUCACCGGAAUCCCGAUGCACAAGAUAUCUCGUCAAAGGUAAAACUAAUCCAGCAAGGCCGCCCGACGUGUCGACGAUCCCGAUACGAGUCGCGUACCUCGUUCUCAGGACACGACGGAUAAGCGACGCGUACAAGUGCCAAACCUCGAGUUUCCUCGCGGUGGCCCCGCACAGUGCUCUGUUUUGGACCAACACUCAUGAGGAGCACUGGCCCGGGGGUUGAUUAAAUUAUCCUCGGGGUCCGGAAAGUCCCUAUGCAAUUUAUUAGGUGAUUAGGCAAAUGUAGUACCAAAGUUGGGCCUUGCUAGACCAGUCUUAAUCUAAAACGAAUUAUUAAGGGGGUCCCCAUAACAACCCCGAUCGUGUUAGGAGCGCUCGAUUAUGGAACAUAACACCGGUAGCCGGAAACUAAGGGGACAAAGGUGGAACAAAACACCAGGCUAGAAAGGCCGAGCCUUCCACCUUUUACCAAGUAUAUAGGUGCAUUAAAUUAAAUAGCAAUUAAAUAUGGUGAUAUAACAAGGAACCCAUGUCCUCACAUGGAAGUAAUGCACCUGCAACUAGCAACACUAACACAGGAUUAAGCAAGCAGUAACAUAGCCAAUCAGUGGUUUUCUAGGUCGAACAGGUUGAAGGUAAUCAUGGCAUUGUUGAGAGGCUGAUAUUUAACAAGUGGUAGGCAACGAGACAUAAACGAUAGAAGCGGUAAACUAGCAUGGCAAUGAUAGUAAUGGUAUCUGGGAAAAUGAUCAUCUUGCCUGAGAUCCCGCUUGGAAGAAGAAUGCCUCCGUGAAGCAGACGAACUGACGUAGUCGAACGGGUCCUCACAAUCCGACACGCGUGCGGAGCUCUAUCGAGACGAAGCAAACCCGAAACACAAAUCAUCACACGGAAUUCACCACACGAUGCACAACACAAAUGAUGCAUGAGCAGCUGAAAACAUGCAAGUCACGGCAUGAAAAAUCACACAAUCAAACACUACGCAUUAAGUGAAGUUCAAUAUGCACGAGUUGCAUAUUGACGAAACUCCACGUUAAUUUAUUUAGUUCUAUCCCGAUUAGAUACACGACAAUAUUAAUGUUGUCAAACAUGCAAGAGGUGAAGCGGUAAUUGAACUACCUAUCUAGACAUUUUAAAUGAGGUCGGAAAUGACAUAUAGCACCUCCGAAACGACCUCACAUGUUAAUUUACAAUUCUGUCCAGAUCUGAACUAAUGCAUUUAAUUAGUUGUUAAACAGCACAAAAAAUAGGUUCACGUGAUUCUACGUGUCAAGGCAAGCAAUCUACACAUAAAGAACAUCUCCAACGGAGCUACGGAUCAAAAACUACGAGCAAAACAAGAAUUGACUACAAUCUGCCAAAAUCAGCCACAUAGCAUAUUCUACGCCCCACAACUACGGCUACACAACUCCGAUAUGCUCAAGCAAGGCAUGGCACGGAAGAGGGCAAGAAGCACUACUACGAAAAACUAACAACCACUAGCAUGGCAGCAAGGAGCACUAGAACAAGAAGACACAAAACGGCAACUCACACACUAUUUCAGACUUAGUGAAAAUUACACCUCCUGAAAGUGCAGUUUUCGAUCUGAAGCAAUAUUGACAGCAGAAAAAUCCUAAGCUACAGAUCUCCAAAUGGCAUGAAACUUUACAGAAUGCUCGAGAAACACUAGGGGUACAACUAACUCCAUUGGACAAAUCUCAAAAGAGCUACAGAUCACAAGAUGCAAGCAAGACAAGACAGCAACAAAAUAUAACAGAUUCCAGACUUAGAAAUAUUUCAGCACGUCUAAAACAACACUAUUUCUAGCAACUUGAGAGCAAGCAAAACACACCUAAACAUGCAUUUCUAUUGCGACUAAAAAUACCAGAGGCUAAACAAAACAUCUAAGAAGAACUCCCUAGUUGACAACUAAUUCAAACGAGGCACGGAAUAAAUCCUACGAAUUAAACAAAAGGGCAUCACGGGAAAAUAUCUCGCAAACUAACUUCCUCAAAAACUAAAACUAAUUGCACAGAAAAAUCCACUGGAUUUUUCUACCCCGGAAACAUAUAAAAUAUGUGAGGUUUGCAACACAAAAUAAUGUCACACAUUAAAGCGGAAAAAAAACCUAUAUACGGGAAAAUAUACUACCGGUAAUUCCCUGUUGGGGAACGUCGCAUGGGAAACAAAAAAUUUCCUACGCGCACGAAGACCUAUCAUGGUGAUGUCCAUCUACGAGAGGGGAUGAGUGAUCUACGUACCCUUGUAGAUCGUACAGCAGAAGCGUUAGAGAACGCGGUUGAUGUAGUGGAACGUCCUCACGUCCCUCGAUCCGCCCCGCGAACAAUCCCGCGAUCAGUCCCACGAUCUAGUACCGAACAGACGACACCUCCGCGUUCAGCACACGUACAUCUCGACGAUGAUCUCGGCCUUCUUGAUCCAGCAAGAGAGACGGAGAGGUAGAAGAGUUCUCCGGCAGCGUGACGGCACUCCGGAGGUUGGUGAUGAUCUCGUCUCAGCAGGGCUCCGCCCAAGCUCCGCAGAAACGCGAUCUAGAGGAAAAACUAUGGAGGUAUGUGGUCGGGCAGCCGUGAGAAAAAUCGUCUCAAAUCUGCCCUAAAAGCCCCAUAUAUAUAGGAGGAGGGAGGGGGACCUUGCCUUGGGGUCCAAGGGACUCCCAAGGGGUCGGCCGAGCCAAGGGGGGGAGGACUCCCCCCCCAAACCGAGUUGGACUUGGUUUGGUGGGAGGAGUCCCCCUCCCUUCCCACUUCUUCCCUCUUUUUUUUCUUUUCCUUUGAUUUCUUUCUCUUGGCGCAUAGGCCCCCUUGGGGCUGUCCCACCAGCCCACUAAGGGCUGGUGUGUCUCCCCAAAGCCUAUGGGCUUCCCCGGGGUGGGUUGCCCCCCCCCCCGGUGAACUCCCGGAACCCAUUCGUCAUUCCCGGUACAUUCCCGGUAACUCCGAAAACCUUCCGGUAAUCAAAUGAGGUCAUCGUAUAUAUCAAUCCUUGUUUCCGGACCAUUCCGGAAACCCUCGUGACGUCCGUGAUCUCAUCCGGGACUCCGAACAACAUUCGGUAACCAACCAUAGAACUCAAAUACGCAUAAAACAACGUCGAACCUUAAGUGUGCAGACCCUGCGGGUUCGAGAACUAUGUAGACAUGACCCGAGAGACUCCUCGGGCAAUAUCCAAUAGCGGGACCUGGAUGCCCAUAUUGGAUCCUACAUAUUCUACGAAGAUCUUAUCGUUUGAACCUCAGUGCCAAGGAUUCAUAUAAUCCCGUAUGUCAUUCCCUUUGUCCUUCGGUAUGUUACUUGCCCAAAAGGGCCCUAUGCGCCUAGGAAAGAAAAUCAAAGAGAAAAGAAAAAAAGAGGAGGUGGGAAGGGAAGGAAGGACUCCCACCCACCAAACCAAGUCCAACUCGGUUUGGGGGGGAGCCUUCCCCCUUGGACUCGGCCGACCCCCUUGGGGCUCCUUGAGCCCCAAGGCAAGGUCCCCUCCCUCCCACCUAUAUAUACGGAGGUUUUAGGGCUGAUUUGAGACGACUUUUCCACGGCAGCCCGACCACAUACCUCCACGGUUUUUCCUCUAGAUCGCAUUUCUGCGGAGCUCGAGCGGAGCCCUACUGAGACAAGGUCAUCACCAACCUCCGGAGCGCCGUCACGCUGCCGGAGAACUCUUCUACCUCUCCGUCUCUCUUGCUGGAUCAAGAAGGCCGAGAUCAUCGUCGAGCUGUACGUGUGCUGAACGCGGAGGUGCCGUCCGUUCGGUACUAGAUCGUGGGACUGAUCGCGGGAUUGUUCGCGGGGCGGAUCGAGGGACGUGAGGACGUUCCACUACAUCAACCGCGUUCACUAACGCUUCUGCUGUACGGUCUACAAGGGUACGUAGAUCACUCAUCCCCUCUCGUAGAUGGACAUCACCAUGAUAGGUCUUCGUGCGCGUAGGAAAAUUUUUGUUUCCCAUGCGACGUUCCCCAACACAUCUAUCAUAUCCUUACAAAUGCCUUUAGGCAAUUUGAAAACUCCCAUAGCAUAUACCGGAAUAGCUUGUGCAACAGCCUUUAGCUAAGUUUCUUUGCCAAGAACGGAUAGGUUAUUUUCCUUUCCAACCGCUAAUUCUCUACAUAGUUCUCUCAAUAAGGUGUUUCAAGCAAUCACUUCUAUCAAUUCCAACAAGAGCAGGGAGCCCCAAAUAUCUAUGAGAUAGUGCUUUGUUGCCAAUAUUUAGGUGUAAACAUAUAUCAGCUUUCAUCUCAUAUCAUCUCACCUACUUGAAAAGAACUUAGCAUUGUAUCAUCUAUCUCAUCUUUCGUCCAAUCAUCUCCUUCCUCCGUUUCCAACAAAAAUCAUCUCCUUCCCACGCCCACGAAAAGCUCAUCCCACCCCACAUACACGUACUUUACCUCGCCCAAUAUUUCUCAAAUCAAUUUGGUAAGGCAGUUGAUGCAUAUCAAUCGGGUGAGGUAACCUACUUGGUAAGCCAAUAAAUCAUUGCACUCUAUUUACGGCAGUCCAAAAUUUUAUAGCUUCCAAAAAUAAAUUAACUUCCUGGUAUUUCUCAUGAGGCAAUCAUGGUGAUUUAGUUGCCUGCUUUGCAACUACGGUGCAUGGUAAUAUACAAGGUAAUAUACAACGGGCAUGGAUUAUUUGCCUUCGUGUCAUGAAAAGGGAGGAACUUUAUGCCCACAAGAAAUCACAUCUUCCUAAACUAAAGUUUGACAUGGAAACAUUAUAAAGUGGUGGCCCAACCUUCUCUCUCUACGUGGCUUCCAUGUCACGCAUUGUCGCCGGCAUGAGCUCAUCGCCGAUGCGGCCGCCACACUGUACCGCCCUGCACCGCGAUAUGGUUCUAUCCAUUUAUAAUUGAUCAUGUCACCACACUCAAAACGAGAGGCCCGCGGUCAUGCAUAUGGUGCGGGGGUCUGUCCGUCACUUCGGCGAUCGUCAGCAAGUAGUUGCGGUUGUGGUCCUCUGUGGUAGAUCAAGCUUCAUGCGUAUACUCAUCAGCAAGCCAAUAGAAGUCAACGUUGCAUCUGUCCAGUUUGAUCCUGAAAAUUAAGGAAAAUAGUUUGUAGGGUCUCUGGUGGGAUCGUUUUGUUCCGCCCGUGAUAGAUCACGGCAACCCCUCAAAUGAGUCACCGACCGGGGCCAAAUUGGGCUUAAUUCGAUAAUGGGCAAUUUUAUCCCUCUAGAAAAUUAACAUUACAUUCAAGGGCUUUUUGCUAACGGGUCAAAAAAAAGUAAUAGGCUUCAAUGUGUUGAUUUAUGUUUUAGGCAGAAUUUUCAUUCCGGUGCACUUUCCUAUUGUUUAAGGUUCUAUAGUAAUGCAAAUACACGCUUGAUAAUUUGAAAUACCCAAUGGAUAUAGUAUUAUCUAUGCAUGAGCGUUCUCCGUACAUCUAAUACAAUACCGAAAUGCCAGGCUCUUUGCGUACAAGGAAUUUUACUUUACAGCCCCACCCUUUUGUUUUAUCUUAAGCCACCCAUCUCAACCCAUAAAGUGCUUUCCGUAAAACAAAUCCAUAACAACACCAUGGUUGCUCCUUGAGUGCCAGUGCGAUUACUUGAAGAUUACACAUUACAAGGGAGGGUACCUUUCCCCUCUGUACGUUACAGCACGGAGGAGCUUUCAAGUCAAUACGUUACAGUAGCGUCACGCCGGAAAGAGACGCCUGAGUACGCGCAAGCGUGAGAGAGCAUCUUCGUUGGAUGGAGGAGUAGUAGUACGCGCUAGCUAUUGAACUGGUCUGUGAGAUCGGAGGUACGCCGGAGAUCAGGUUACUUUUGGUGAGUGCAUUGAGGAAUCGUACUGCGAUUAACUCUUGCCUUUGCUCAAGUUACACGUUUGUGUUUUCUUUUUAAGAAACUAGUACAAAUGCCCGUGUAUUGCAACGGGCUAUAAAUUUAAUAGAAGUUGGCCCUUGUAAUUUUUUAUAAUUAAUUAAUUUCUAUAACUAACAGUUUCAUUUGCAAUUUUAUUUUGUUAAUUAAUGAUAGCAUAUGCAUUAGAACAUUAUUUUUAUCUUAUUGACAUAUGUGUUUGCAUUUGUAAUCUAAGUGAGUCUUAAUUUGGUUGCAAACAUACUCCCUCUGUCCGGAAAUACUUGUCCUAAACAUGAAUAUAUCUAAACUUAUUUUAGUUAUAGAUACAAUCAUUAUAUUCAUUUUUAGGACAAGUAUUUCCGGACGGAGGAAGUAUUAGACAGCUACAUCUAAAACAAUCAAUUUGUAAGUACAUGCAUACCAAAUAUUUUAGGUUGCGUAUCAAUAUCAAUAUUCUUAAAAUAAUAAUUAGCAAAACAGUUUAUAUAUAUGAAAAAUCAAAGCUCAGCCAUUUUUUUAUGUGAAGCUUGUAUAAACAACAUUGUAUAUUUUUUGUACAUUAAAAACAUUUUUUUGCGUGUGACAUCACAAACAUUAUUAAGUUUUGAUGUCUAAUUUUUUUAAUAUGCAUUUUACAUAUUUUGUAUGCAUCAUGAAUAUUUUUUAUAUACAUGUUUUACAUUAUUCAAAUACACAAUUAAUAUUUUUGAAAAGUUCUAUUUUCUAUGUCUACUUUGUUCCAUACACAUUAUAUAUUUUUGUAUAUGUUUUCUUAUACACCGGAAACAUUUUCCUAUGCACAUUUAAAGUCUUUUAAAUACAUGAUCAAUAUUUUUGAAAAUAAAAGAAAAAUAUAUUAUUUAUUGUCCAUACGCAUUGUACACUUUUUUGUCUACAAAUUUAACAUUUCUUUAAUCCAUGAUUAACAUGUGUGCAAAGUUUAUCGAAAUAAAGGCAAAAAGAGAAAAAAAAUAGAAAAAAGUGUGAAAUAGAAGAACAAAAAGGUUUGUACAUUUUUUUUAUUGUCCAUAUGCAUUGUACAUUUUUUUAUAUGUGGUUACUUUUGUGUCUACAAAUUUGACAUUUCUUUAAUCCAUGAUUAACAUGUGUGCAAAGUUUAUCGAAAUAAAGGCAAAAGAGAAAAAAAUAGAAAAAGAGUGAAAUAGAAGAAAAGGGUUGCAAUCGGGAUCGAACCUGGGUCUCCUGGUGGGGCGGGGCGCACCCAACCGGUUGGCCUAGCCCGUUGUCGUGAUAAAAUACGGAAACGUCAGCCUUUAGAAUGAGAAACAAAGAGCCGAAUCAAAGUUCAAAAACGAAUCGUUUUUGUCACUUACGGGUGGCAUUGGUGAAUAAUUUUGACGAACUUUAGGGGCAAAUUUAAUGACGUACCACAGAAGCAAUAUGUGCUUUAUUAGUAGGUAUAAAAAUAGUUACACGUUCGUGAUUGCCAAGGACUUGUAGUGUACUUGACCAGUACUAAAACAUCUCCAACCGCGUCCUCAACACAUCCUUCAAGACCCUUUUUUAUCGCCGGUCCAAAAAAACCCGGUCGAGUCGCGUUUGAGGAGCCUGUUUUUCGUCGUUAGGGCCGAAUUUUGUCCCAGCGGUCCCAGGCCAAACCCAACGUGUUGCGGAGCAUCCCUGGGCGCGAACGAAAACAUUUUUGACGCGAAACGCGUGUGGACCCGUCGAGUCAGCGACUAGGCGCGUUCGUCGUCCUCAUCUCCUUGUUUUCCGCAGAAAUUAAUGUGAAGGCUGCACCGCCGAUCAGCCUUUCAUUGAUUCUUGACGGACGGUGCAGUGAAGGCGCGGCGACGCGCGUCCCGUCCACUCCCGCCACGCGUUCACAUGGCUGUCGCCCGCUCGUCGGCCGCCAGCGGCUAUAUAAGCCGCCCCUUCCUCGACGGUUCUCGCACACCUCUCGCCAGACUCUCGCGGCCGAUGCCCCUCUCCUCUUUUCGCCCCCUUCGUCAACGGCGCCUCCUCUCUCUCCCUCCACCAUUAUCCGAGCGCUACCCCUAACGACGGAAUGGCGUCCAAUGGCCGCCGCCACCUGCAUGAGUCCGAAGCCUGCCUCCUCUACGAGGCGGACUACUCGGCACCACCGGACAUGCGAGUGCCGAGCUCGUGGAGGCUGAGCGCCGGCGGGAUCCCGGUGUCAAUGCCUCCCUCUGGAGCUGACAAGCGCGCGGAGAUUGUGUGCAUCCGGUAGUUGUUGUCGAAGAGUUCGCACAGAACGUGUCGAGGUAAGCCCCCGACAGCAACAUGGAUGGGUACUUCUAAUGCCGCCAUGCCGACCAGCUUGUCGCCACCAACGAUGCCAACCCCCGUGGUCGCUUCAACUCCGAGGGGCGACGCCAAUGUUGGGGCGUCCUCGGCCGCGCGUUGGAGGCCGUCCUCAAGCACAUCGAGGGCAGGGGGUGCAGCAUGAUGGCGCGUGGCGGAGUGCAGAACAACGACGACGGCGCUACACCAACUUCUACAAACUUCUCGACAUGUAGAAGGCGGCGGCGUAGUAGUAGUUUUUAAAUUUCGUUCAAAUUUGUGUCGUUUUCGGCCGAUUUUAGGCUGAAUUUGAUUUUAAAUAAACCGGCUAGGGGCGACCUUGGGAGGACGACUGGGAACCCGAGCCCCCCCCCCCCUCCACACACACAGGGUCCGCCAAUUUUUUCGUCGGCGCGCCCUGAGCUGGCGCUAUUUCAAGCCCUGAGGCCCGAACGGUUGGAGAUGCUCUUAACGUUGACGAAAUGGUUCGUGGGUGUAUUCAUAGAGGUGAGCGUACGUGAGCAACAUCGACUGUACUCCGUUUAAAAAAUUGACUAGAGCGGGGUUGAAGACAAGUUUUUCUUCUCUUUAUUUUUUUGCAGGGAAUAAUUAUAUUUUAAUAAAUAAAAACAUCCAAAGGUAGAUCUAAUAAAUAAUUAAAUAUCAUGGAAAAUAAAGAUCAUUACAAUGGACAGACAUACUAGACGUAGAAGGACUAGUAAAAAUUAAAAUUAUUUUAAAAAUUAUACUAGUCUUCUCUUCCUUCGAUUGUACGCCUUCCACUCAAGAUUGAGAAUUGCAUUGAAUCAAGAAAAAGGAAAAACGAACAUCUCCAAAAGUCCUCAUGAGUCAUAUGUGUUUUCAUGUUUCCUCUUUGUCAUCACCAUUGAUGGUGGUCAGUUGUCUACCUAUUUACGAUAAAUGUGAUCAAUCCUCAUGCCGUGAGCUAAGUCAUUACACUCUACCAUGCCGAUUUCACGAGCCCCUCCCUGCAUUCGCCUUCACAAUCCGGUCUUGACAUAUCAGGCGGUGCAUUUCAUUCUUAACCCCGCACAAUUAUAAUUUUUAAUGCAAAUUAUGUUAAGGUGUGAUGCUAUCAACUCCUUGACUGAACAUAAGUUGCAUACACUCCAUUGUCGCUACCAUCCAGUUUCUUCAGCUCUACCAUGAACUUGGACGUGUUUCCGACAACGAACUAUGUCGUGUUCUUCUGCCACAGCUAUCUAACCAAAAAUCAAACAGUUAGCGUCCCUAACUUACAUAUACAUGAUGUCAACACUGAUUCCUUAACAUUAUACUUUGGUCUUCUCGCAAGAGGUUCUCAUAUACUCCAUAGGAAUCAUUAUCAUUACAUGAGAUAACUGCAUGACAAAACAAUGUGAGUGUAACCUUAUUUUUUCUAACCAUCAAGUAAAAAAGGUGAAAAUUAAUAUUCACGAAGUUCGUUCCCAUUGACUGUAAAUCAAUCAAUUCUUAACUUUACUUUUGUAUUUCCCGCAAAAACAAAAAAACUUGACUUCCACACUACCUAAAUAAUUCAUAACUCCAUUUAAACAUGGCCAAGCAUAACUUAUAUGUACCACACGAAAUUCAAAACAACACUAUCAGGAAAUGGAGUACACAACGUACAUGUAGGUUCCUUUCGUUUUGCGCAGGUACAUACUUAGCUUAUGUGAUGACCUCAUUUAUUUAGGGGGUCCUCUCUCCCAUCUCACAGUUCUUCUAAUUCCAUUCUUCCAGCUGAAUCUAUUCCCUCUUUUAGUUGCUUAUUCAUUUCUAAUUUUUUCCCUUCCUUCCUGCUCAUAAGAGGAAUUAAUGAGACCUCUAUCGCAUCAGCCAAAUUUAUUUACUCGUUAUUCUAAUUUUUAAUUUAUUUAUGGUCAAAUUUAUUUUCUUCUUCUAAUUCUUUCCCUUCGCCUCUACCUCAUCAUAACAAAAAGAGAUGUUAGAGCAUAUUUCUUCAUAUGUGGUUUUGGUAAUUGAUGAUAAUCCUUAUGGACUAAUGGUUGCCUUAAGUUAUAUUCGAAGGAUUUGUUCAUAGGCACUUCUUGAAGUCCAACUGUUGGUUUCAAGGAGUUUAUAUGACGACCAAUGUAGUUUUCAAGGUAUUAUUCAAAGAUUGGUCAUAAAGACAUAAGGUUGAUCAAGACUAAGUCAAAGAGUAAAUCAAGUUGAUCAACUCACAAAGCGUACAAGAUGUACCGAGAGGGAUCAAAUGAUCUCAUGGUAUGGUAAGCAUUGUCCAUUACGCUUUUGUGUACUUAGGUGUGUUUCCAUGGGCUUCGUGAGAGUUCUAUGUGGGCUUAGGUGUGUUUCCAUGGGCUUGCGUCAAGAGGAAGAUCUCAUUCAACCCAUGAAGGAUGACAUCAAGUGGUGAUCGUCAUCAAGAUUGUGAUGUGUAAGUUCAAGUGAAGCAUUACGAAGAUAUCAUGCUUGAAGCUUGCCGUCCAUUGUGGUGGCAAUGGACUUGUGAAGAUGUGUUGAAGAGUGACUCACCCAUAGUGAGUAUUGGGAAGCAAUCAACUAUUCUUCAUCAAGACAAUGCAAUCAAGAAAGAUGGUUCAUCUUGAGGAAGUCAAGAUUGUCAUAAUCUAGCUCAAGUGGACUAUGUGUAAGGUAUAUGUUUGCCGUUGAUAGUUUUCCUAUUUUAGGAUAGAUUGUCGUACUAUCAAGGGGGCUCUCAACUGAGUAGCUUGAUCUUAUCAUUCGCUGAGAGCUCAAACCAUUUGAAUCCUUGCAUCAUAUUUCUUGAUUCUUGUUUGGUGUUUCUCUUUGUGAGUAUUAGAGCUUAUGGUCAUCUUUAUGACAAGCUCAAAUUCAUCAAAAACGGAGUUCAUGUGCAUCUUCUAUGAUGUUUUCGAUGUUGGAGUUUUUGUCGGUUCUUCAUUCAUAUAAGUUUCACAUCUCUAUAUAAUUGGCAUUUUCAUAACUGUGUGUUCUUAAGAUUUCCAACAGGCUUGAGCUUUCUCAAUUUGGAGCUCGUAUGCGAAAGUUUUGGUAGUUUUAGUGCUGGAGUUGUCCUCUUGAUUCUUGGUAAGCGGAAGUAUCGCUCGGAGUAGAGCGGUACUAACACUUGGCCGGAAGUACCGCUGGAGUUGAGCGGUACUACCGCUUAGGCGGUACUGUCGCUCCCUACUUCCGGCCUCACUUCCGCUUACGUUUCUCGUUUUUCGAUUCUGCUUAGCAAUUAUUUUCGAGCAGAAGUACCGCCCUGAGCGGUACUUCUACUUUGCCUCCCCUGUUUCUUGAGUGGUGGUAGUACGGCUGGUUGGAGCGGUAGUACCGCUCGAGCGGAACUACUGCUCUCCCUGACGCCUAUCUGUUGGCUGCCUUGCAUGUAUUUCCGUGCAAGCGGAAGUACCGCUCCUGCACGACUUCUGGGAAGAAAACUGUCAGAUUUUCUACCACUAUAUAAGGGGGUCUUCUUCCCCAAUGGUCUCUAACUCUUGAGCUCGUAUUUGCCCCUAUUGUUGACCUUCUUAGAGCUUGCUAACUCUCAGUCCCUCCAAUUAUUCUUGCAAGUUCUUAAGGAAAAAGAGAGAGGAGAUCUAGAUCCACAUUUCCACCAAUCACUUUCUCCUCUAUGUGAGGGGGACCUCUUGGAUUUUGAUCUUGCAAUUCUUUGUGAGCUCCUUGUUCUUCCUCUCAUAUUCCUUCAUAACUUUUUUUGCUGUGGAGGGAUUUGAGUGUGAGGGACUUGACCACUUCAUGGGUUCUUGCCAUUGCAUAAGUUGCAUCGGUUAGUUCUCCACGGUGAUACGUAAAAGUGAAAAGUUGAGAAGCUUAUUACCCUUGGGUUCUUGGUAGCCUAGAGAUUGUUCUUCGUGGAUGCUUUGGCAUCCUAGAAGCUUGGUGGCGCCCCAGAGCUUAAUAAUUGUGGUGUAAAGCUCCGAGCAAGCGUCGGGGUCUCCAAUUAGGUUGUGGAGAUUGUCCCGGGCAUUUGAGGUUACCUCGAAGUCAUAUUCCAUUGCGGUGAAGCUCCUCGUGUUGUUGGGAGCCUCCAAUUAAGUUGUGGAGAUUGCCCCAACCUUGUUUGUACGGGUUCGAUGACCGCUCUCAAGGGACCCUUAGUGGAAUAACGGUAUCUUGCAUUGUGCGAGGGCGUGAGGAGAUUACGAUGGCCUUAGUGGCUUCUUAGGGAGCAUUGUGCCUCCACACCGCUUCAAGCGGAGAUUAGCAUCCGCAAGGGUAUGAACUUCGGAUACAUCGUCGUCUCCGUGUGCCUCAAUUAUCUCUUACCCGAGCUCUUUCCUUAUGCACUUUACUUUGUGAUAGCCAUAUUGUUUCUUGUUAUAUAUUGCUAUCACUUAGUUGUUUAUCUUGCUUAUCAUAAGUUGUUGGUGCACAUAUGUGAGCCCAGUUGUUUUAGGUUUUGUGCUUGACUAAUUAAACGUUAGUUUUAUUCUGCAUUUGUUCAAGCCUAAACCGUAAUUAUUCUAAAGAGCCUAUUCACCCCACCCCUUCUAGGCGACCUCCACGUCCAUUGAAGAUAUUUAUUCAUUUUUUAUUUUUUUCCCACUUCCUCCACACAAGAGCGGUAUUUAUUCCUUCUUUUAAUCGCUUUCUUUUCUGCUCAUAUUUAUGACCAAAUGGUGCCCACUUCUUGAGGCGGUAUAUUAAUUCCAAUUCAUAGAAAUAUAUAAUUGACGAGAUUUGAUGUAAGAAGUGAGGUGGGACAACUCAAUAGAUGAACAAACGUCCUUAUGUUUACAUGUUAUGUAGCCAUAGCGAUUCAUAUGGGGGAGUACAUCCAGCAUGGCACACUGCACACUAAUAUGAAAUAUUGCAAACCUCAUCUUCUUCACUGAUGAUAGCUAGCUCAAUUGGCUGGGCAUUUAGGAAUAGGAUGGUAGGUCGCAAGUUUGAAUCUCUAGUAACAAUUAUUUUUGCCUCAUUUGUCCUAACAGUGCUUCUAGGCCAUCUUUGUUCGGACGGCGGGUGAGGCCCAAUAGACAUCAGUCUACGCACUCGAAAGAAGAAGAAAAACAAAUAUUAGGGGCACAUACGAAUGGUAACAAGGUUGUGCAGAAAAGCAAAUAAUUGUUUUGGAGGGAAGAAAAAUUAUAAAUAUGGGUGAUAGACAAAAAAAUGCGAGAAACACAACGUCUUUUAUUACUAGUCAUAGAUACAUGUGUCCUCCUCAAGAAAGCAAGGUGGCAACGGCUCCUUGAAGAUAAAGUUUUUUUUAUGUCUAGCACCCGUCUCGAUGGCGCGUUAUCUAACAUCGUUGAAGGAUGUGUAAAGAUGUGUCUCCGAGGGAUUUCAUGAGAUCUUAUCAUUGUUUGUCUUUGAUGGAUUUAAUUGGGUCCAGUAUUCGUUUGGCUGCGUUCGUGUGUCUUUAGGUUUGAUCAUUUCAAGCUAAUCUGGUGUGUUGGUCCUUUGGGACCUUAGAGAAACUUCAAUACCUCACCUCAAAAGCUUUUCGUAAAAGCCAUUGUACGCCUUGUAUGCAUAAUUUAAAGGAAAAUGACUAAGGGCAUCUCCAAAGCUGACCCCCAAAUCAAACACAACAUCCAUCCGUGGACCGAGUGAUGGCGCAGUUCACGCACACUCAUAUGGGAGUCGAACAUUCAAAGCUAGCCGCAUACAUAU
RNAcentral lists this long non-coding RNA (16429 nucleotides) under Hordeum vulgare. Its description in RNAcentral is "long non-coding RNA (HVUL_LNC003312)". The stretch from base 8828 to 8951 matches the Rfam family "MIR1120/MIR1122 microRNA precursor family". The record is from RNAcentral. Lineage: Eukaryota; Viridiplantae; Streptophyta; Magnoliopsida; Poales; Poaceae.